Molecule: unclassified non-coding RNA, 1188 nt
Filed under: Hevea brasiliensis (rubber tree)
Lineage: Eukaryota; Viridiplantae; Streptophyta; Magnoliopsida; Malpighiales; Euphorbiaceae
Source: RNAcentral
UCUUUUUAUUUAUUUAUUUAUUUAGGUUUGUCUUUUGUAGUUCCUUUCGACCUCAUGACUUGGCCUAUUUCUUACUUUUCAAAGCUGGCAAUAAAAUAUUCAUUAUUCCAUCAUUCUUGAGGAUACCACCAUAUGGCCUUCCUCAAUAUAGAUCACAUGCUUUACUAAUAUAAUAGAAAUUCAAAGUUCUGCACCCACCAACAACUGAAGAUUUCUUAUUUAAAAUCCUUGUAAUUGAUAUUGUUCAAUGCUUUACUAAUAUGAGUUAAGGCUCUAAUUAUUUACUUAAAUAAUUUUUCAAUGCUGCAAAAGGAUAUAAGUUAAAUAAUUUUAUUUACAGUCAAUACUGGCCAUAUGUUCAUCCUUAGUUGUAGACAACUGGUCUAGAAUAAUGAAAUUUUACCAUCAAUUCACUAGAUUCUCCAGAUGAUACUCUCAAGUUUGACUGGAACCGUUAAGGCACAUGUUGCUCUAGUUAUGCAACAUAAAAUCACAGUUACAUCUACACAUUCCUGAAGGGAAAAGGAUGAAAGGGCUCAAUGCAAAUGCUAGGCAUAGGCUACAUUGCCCUCAUUCUCAUCUAUUGCAUUUGUGGGUCCAUGUUGACCUUUGAUUUGCUACUAUCAUCUUACCAGGGACAUUCUUAUGCUUGCAACCCUAGUCAACAAAGACCAUGUCAUUCUAGGAACCAAUAUGAGUUUUCAAAUGGGCCUAUGAAUUGUCCCCUUUAAUUCCUUGUGCAUGAGGUUAUUGAUCAAUCUCACCCAAGUGGAUUAUUAAGUCAUUAUCAUCUUCCCUUAGUUAAUAAGAAUGUGAGUGCAGAGAGGAGCAAAUUGGAAUUUUCAUGUACUACCACAUUCAUCUUUGAUGUAAUUUGUGAAGGAUAAAUUUUCUGCUCCUUUCUCAUGUUGGUCAUAAAUGCUAACAUGGAUUUGUAUCUUUGACUGUGCUCUAUUCAGAGUUUUGUUUUACCUCCCUGAUAUUGUUUCUAUAGAAAUAUGAACUGAGAAUCCUUAAUAAAAUAGUGCACUAUUGUAAAUAUUGAAAUAGUGAGAACUGCAAUUUUUUUUUUUUUUGCUGUCACUAUAUUUGAUUCUUGGUCAAGUUCUUUGAAUUGUGAAUUAUAUGAUUGGUUUCAUAUUGUUGAUUGGUAGUUCUUGUAUUCAGGUUGCGGGCAUGAGCUUUGCG